UGGGAGGCAACCCACUAUUAGGUAUUUUAUUUUAGUUUUAUUAGCUAGCAUUUAUUUAUUCUCUAUUUUUUUUUUCAGAUUUAGGAGACCCAAGUAGGAGAACCUAAAUAUCGACCGCUGACGAGACGUCGACAUCGCUCGACAUAGACAACCACACAACGAUCGAUGCAACACUUUCCCAUCGAUCGAGAUCUAAUCCGGUCAGAUGUAUCUACCCUACUUGUUACAUUUCGUACAUCGUGAACUAUUCCAUCAUAACUCCGGCUGAGUUACACUGGGACAGUGUAAUUUAAGUCUGGGGGGAGAUUUACUGAUAUAAUUUUUUUUUUUGAACAACAUAUUCUUAUAUAUUAAAUAGUAUAUGGCCAAUACAAAAAUGUUAUAAGCC
This 388-nucleotide long non-coding RNA is filed under the name Brassica rapa (field mustard). RNAcentral describes it as "long non-coding RNA (BRAP_LNC002564)". The record is from RNAcentral. Lineage: Eukaryota; Viridiplantae; Streptophyta; Magnoliopsida; Brassicales; Brassicaceae.